Molecule: ribosomal RNA, 460 nt
Filed under: uncultured bacterium
Lineage: Bacteria
Description: partial 16S ribosomal RNA
Rfam family: Bacterial small subunit ribosomal RNA
Source: RNAcentral
CCUACGGGAGGCAGCAGUGAGGAAUAUUGGUCAAUGGGCGCGAGCCUGAACCAGCCAAGUAGCGUGAAGGAUGACUGCCCUACGGGUUGUAAACUUCUUUUAUAAAGGAAUAAAGUGAGGCACGUGUGCCUUUUUGUAUGUACUUUAUGAAUAAGGAUCGGCUAACUCCGUGCCAGUAGCCGCGGUAAUACGGAGGAUCCGAGCGUUAUCCGGAUUUAUUGGGUUUAAAGGGAGCGUAGAUGGGUUGUUAAGUCAGUUGUGAAAGUUUUCGGCUCAACCGUAAAAUUGCAAUUGAUACUGGCAGUCUUGAGUACAGUUGAGGUAGGCGGAAUUCGUGGUGUAGCGGUGAAAUGCGUAGAUAUCGAGAGGAACACUCGUGGCGAAGGCGGGUUCUUGGACAUUAACUGACGCUGAGGCACGAAGGCCAGGGGAGCGAAAGGGAUUAGAUACCCUAGUAGUC